UGGGGAAUAUUGCACAAUGGGGGAAACCCUGAUGCAGCAACGCCGCGUGAAGGAAGAAGGGUUUCGGCUCGUAAACUUCUAUCGAUAGGGACGAAAGAGAUGACGGUACCUAAAUAAGAAGCCCCGGCUAACUACGUGCCAGCAGCCGCGGUAAUACGUAGGGGGCAAGCGUUAUCCGGAAUUACUGGGUGUAAAGGGAGCGUAGGCGGCAAGGUAAGUAAGAUGUGAAAGCCCGUAGCUUAACUGCGAGGAUUGCAUUUUAAACUAUCUAGCUUGAGUACAGGAGAGGUAAGCGGAAUUCCUAGUGUAGCGGUGAAAUGCGUAGAUAUUAGGAAGAACACCAGUGGCGAAGGCGGCUUACUGGACUGUAACUGACGCUGAGGCUCGAAAGCGUGGGGAGCGAACAGG
RNAcentral lists this ribosomal RNA (408 nucleotides) under uncultured bacterium. Its description in RNAcentral is "bacterial SSU rRNA". It matches the Rfam family "Bacterial small subunit ribosomal RNA", at positions 355 to 776 of the family's 1533-position model. The record is from RNAcentral.